Molecule: non-coding RNA, 119 nt
Filed under: Rubrivivax gelatinosus
Lineage: Bacteria; Pseudomonadati; Pseudomonadota; Betaproteobacteria; Burkholderiales; Sphaerotilaceae
Also listed under: 1 other name
Description: ZTP sequence
Rfam family: ZMP/ZTP riboswitch aptamer (pfl RNA motif)
About the family: Previously known as pfl RNA. ZMP is also known as AICAR.
Source: RNAcentral
CGCCUCCUGCGCGACUGGCGAUGAGGGGCGGCACGACUGCCGGCCCCGAGGUGGAUCGACCACCGGGAAGCGCAGGCCGGCCACCCGGCCGGCGUCCGCCGUUCGCCUGGGCAGCCCUC